UACGUGCCAGCAGCCGCGGUAAUACGUAUGUCGCAAGCGUUAUCCGGAUUUAUUGGGCGUAAAGCGCGUCUAGGUGGUUAUGUAAGUCUGAUGUGAAAAUGCAGGGCUCAACUCUGUAUUGCGUUGGAAACUGCAUGACUAGAGUACUGGAGAGGUAAGCGGAACUACAAGUGUAGAGGUGAAAUUCGUAGAUAUUUGUAGGAAUGCCGAUGGGGAAGCCAGCUUACUGGACAGAUACUGACGCUAAAGCGCGAAAGCGUGGGUAGCAAACAGGAUUAGAUACCCUGGUAGUCCACGCCGUAAACGAUGAUUACUAGGUGUUGGGGGUCGAACCUCAGCGCCCAAGCUAACGCGAUAAGUAAUCCGCCUGGGGAGUACGUACGCAAGUAUGAAACUCAAAGGAAUUGACGGGGACCCGCACAAGCGGUGGAGCAUGUGGUUUAAUUCGACGCAACGCGAGGAACCUUACCAGCGUUUGACAUC
This 483-nucleotide ribosomal RNA is filed under the name uncultured bacterium. RNAcentral describes it as "bacterial SSU rRNA". It matches the Rfam family "Bacterial small subunit ribosomal RNA", at positions 502 to 988 of the family's 1533-position model. The record is from RNAcentral.